This 253-nucleotide ribosomal RNA is filed under the name uncultured bacterium. RNAcentral describes it as "partial 16S ribosomal RNA". It matches the Rfam family "Bacterial small subunit ribosomal RNA", at positions 524 to 776 of the family's 1533-position model. The record is from RNAcentral.
UACGUAGGGGGCAAGCGUUGUCCGGAUUUAUUGGGCGUAAAGAGCGUGUAGGCGGCCUGGAAGGUCAGCUGUGAAAACUCGAGGCUCAACCUCGAGACGUCGGUUGAAACCACCUGGCUAGAGUCCGGAAGAGGAGAGUGGAAUUCCUGGUGUAGCGGUGAAAUGCGCAGAUAUCGGGAGGAACACCAAUGGCGAAGGCGGCUCUCUGGGACGGUACUGACGCUGAGACGCGAAAGCGUGGGGAGCGAACAGG